GAGUUUAAUAUGUUGUACUGGUACUAAUAGGCUGCAUAAUUGGGCCGGGGUAUACGUGACUGCAGCAAAGGUAUAAAAGUAAAUUAAAGAUAUAAAAUGCUUUACGAUCAUUUCGCUCUGCUAGUCUAAACAAGAUUUCAUUUCAACUGCGAAAAAAUGCUAUUAAAACCUUUCUUAACUGUUACUGCAUAGUUCCCUUUAUGUUGUAUUCUAGAAUACACACGUCACAAUCUACCGGUGACUAAAAAUAUUCGAAUAUAUUCCCGAAACCCCGAUUGUUGCAGCGAUUGUUGCACUUCUGCAAGACAAUCGCCAUAUUGUUUGGAUAGCUGGUGACGUAGAGAUCACGUGACUUAGGCGACAUUGGAAUAUAUCUGGGGGCGUUACGCGAAUUUAAUAAUUGCACUAAUUACGCACUUUUCUUUAAUUAGGGCUCAUUUAAUUAGAAAGAAACUCCAAUUUUGACACCCAAUUUAAACUAAUAUUACGCGAAAGAUAAAUAAACACCCCAGUUUAAAGCUUAAAAAGUAAUUUAAUGACAAUACACGAUUUUUGGCGCAAUUUUUAUGCAGAAUCAUUAAAAAUGGAGUUUUUUUACAAAAACAGGUGAAGUUUGUUCUAAAUUUUCUGUUAAAAUAAAGAAAUAAAGAGGUCUCGGUGUUGGGUUGUAUUUGUUUACAAGCUUUAAUGUCUAAAACUACUCAUUUGCGUAGGUUUUAGAACCGAAAGGUUAAAAUUAUACCGUCAUAGUUUUGGUAAACAGUACGUAAUGUAACGCCUACGUAUAAUGUAUUACUAGUAGUAGGAAUGAAACUGCGUGGUGUAGUUGUUAUGACGGUAAUAUAUGAAGUACGCACUAAGCCAUAAUACGUAUGUUGCUACAGCGGGGUUUAAUGCGAACUGUGUUACCAAGAAACGGUAUAACCUGUUCUAUUAUUACAUACAGUACACCACAGAUAAAACACUUUGGUUUGCUAUGGCUUUUAUACAGUAUACGUAAAGCGUCAGUAAUUUAAAGCCAAGUGCUAUUAUAGCCUUUAUUGCAAAUAUCUAAUGUAUAAAAACAUCACCAAACACCUCCGACAUACGUCAUGAUCCUAAUAUAUAGUCUAAUAUAAAUUAUAUGAAGGCCGUUUACGUCACUUAUGGCUGUAAAAAGAAGAAUUAAGUUCACAGCAUUUACGUAGAGACGUUUUGUAGCGUCUAUAAUGGCCGUUAUCUGGAAUUUUGGCUGCAGAGAGCGGUAUUGAGUAAUCGCUGGGUUCUUACAAUGAUGUGUGCGUGUUGUUUUCAACAGAUUGAAGAGCACAGGAUACCAGUUUCAAUUCCUAGCUACCUCGAAAACAAUAUUAUUCGUUGGGUUUUAGUUUUUUAAUGCAAAUGGCUUCGAAAUAUAUUUAAUAAUUACAGCGUGUGACACAUUGAUUGGACUUAUUUUUAUAGUUUUAAAUGUAAGCGCAUGCGUCUUUGGGCGAGACGCUUGGCAGUAAUUGCUUCAGCCCAGUGGUCACUGAUGGUUUGUCUAACAGUUGUCAGUAAUACAGAAAAACAAUCACCCACAAAAUUGCAAGUCCUAAACGGGCACUAGGUGCAUGAAACGGAGCACUCAUGUUAUUAGGACUGCCGUUUCCCGCCUCGGCGGGAGGAAAAACAAGUCACAUUCAUUCAUUUGUCAUCACGACUCUAAAAUAGCAUUGUUAAUUGAUUAUAACACGUUCAAGAAAUAUGGGAAGUAGGUACAAACAGUAUCCAUUCUACACCAUAGUACUAAACAUCUCAUACACUAAAAUAUUCCAAUAAUUUCUCUUUUUAAGCGACUAUUUUGUUCAACCAAACCAACCACCACAGUCAGACUGCACAAUAUCCAUAUUUUUAAAUCCAUACGACGCAAUUUAUGGUUAUAUGUUACAUAAACACAAUGUUUUAAUAGUUCGAUUUUCCGUCGUCUAUUUUAUUUACCACCACUAACCACGUGACAAGCUAAAUUGUUUCUGUUAUCAGCGCGACCGCAGUUGUGUCAUUGACAGAAGCUCAUUUAUGACGUCACAAGCAGGCCGUUUGUCCCCGCUUCGAUUUUCUGACAAUGCAUUGUUCUUAUCGCGUUUGACAUUAAACAGAAAUCUAAAUUUUCUAGAACAGCGUCAUUGUGACGAAAUAAUAGUUUCUAUUCGAAAACAAAGACCACGUGACGGAAACUAUUCUAGAAUCAACAAAACAAUGGAGUUCUGGAAUUCUAGACAAUGGGAAUUAAAACGUGAACAAACAGCAUAGAAACAUCAUAAAGUUUUUAUAUUUAUUAAAUUUAAUUAUUAAAUUCGUGCUAAAGUGGGGAGCACUUAUUCUUAUCUAUGCAAGUACUCUCUUGGCUCACUGUGACGAAUAUAAAGGGAUAAUGACGUACAAUUAAAUGAAGAUACGUCAUGAUAAA
Ciona intestinalis (vase tunicate) is the source of this 2428-nucleotide non-coding RNA. The record is from RefSeq and is a predicted model, not a curated record. NCBI's taxonomy places the organism in Eukaryota, Metazoa, Chordata, Ascidiacea, Phlebobranchia, Cionidae.